Molecule: long non-coding RNA, 937 nt
Filed under: Homo sapiens (human)
Lineage: Eukaryota; Metazoa; Chordata; Mammalia; Primates; Hominidae
Description: HSALNT0109029
Source: RNAcentral
AUAGCCAGUUUUGGUGGAAAUUUUUUUGUUCAAGAUUACAUUUCACGUGUUGUGAGAAGCUCGUUUCUGCUAUAACAGCAGAACCCAAGCUCAGUGCAAGAAAAGCAGCCUAUAUUUCUGCUACAGACCUGGAAUCUGCCAACUGGCUGGAUUCACAUGCCGCCAGAGAAAGGAGAUUGAAGCCAUGUGUCAAGUCUUCUCCUCCAGAAACAGCUCAACAUAAGCCCUUCUGUUAACAGGAAGACUGGCUCAGAAACACCGAAUCAGCAGUAUCAUGUGCAAACAUAAAACGAGGCAAUGAUAGCUGUUUCUGUUGCUUGCAACCAAAUACCCUGAUUGUUGAAAAGCCAACAAUUCAAAACUCCAAAAUCUACUGUAGACUGGAGCUCUUCCUGGGGACUCUUCUGUUCCUCAACAGGCUCUGAAAGCUUCCUGGUCAUUUUGAAGUUGGAAGACUCAAUUUUGAACCACUCUCAGGCAGAAGAGAAGAGUCACUAUCCAUUGUGAUCAAAAGAAUACCUGCCGGCAGAUGAGCCACAUGCCUCAGCAGUCCAGACUUCCGUGGCGACCUCCACGGGCAAGCCUAUGCACUGGGUGCCCAGCAUGCCCUCAGGAGUGGCUGAGGCUACUGGCUGUCACAGGGCAAGGUUGUGGGAAGCCUGAAGCUGGUGGGAGGGGCACACGCAGGUGGUUCUGAGCUGAGCCUGAGUGAGUGCUACAUGAAGUAUUGUAUUUAUGUUAAAACCCACUGUUCUUAGACACUGGGCUCUGAGUCUCUCAGAAGUAGAUUUAUCCUAAGAGAUAUGUAAAUCUAUAUGAACUCCAACCUAUAUUUUUAAAUAAAAUCAAUAUGAUUCCCCUUGUAUAUUUUACUACUUUCUUUCUAAUUUGUGUCAAUGCUGCACUGAUCAAUAAAUUACAAAUUCUUACACAGAAA